UGGGGAAUAUUGGACAAUGGGCGAAAGCCUGAUCCAGCCAUGCCGCGUGUGUGAAGAAGGUCUUCGGAUUGUAAAGCACUUUAAGUUGGGAGGAAGGGCAGUAAGCGAAUACCUUGCUGUGUUGACGUUACCGACAGAAUAAGCACCGGCUAACUCUGUGCCAGCAGCCGCGGUAAUACAGAGGGUGCAAGCGUUAAUCGGAAUUACUGGGCGUAAAGCGCGCGUAGGUGGUUCGUUAAGUUGAAUGUGAAAGCCCCGGGCUCAACCUGGGAACUGCAUCCAAAACUGGCGAGCUAGAGUAGGGCAGAGGGUGGUGGAAUUUCCUGUGUAGCGGUGAAAUGCGUAGAUAUAGGAAGGAACACCAGUGGCGAAGGCGACCACCUGGGCUCAUACUGACACUGAGGUGCGAAAGCGUGGGGAGCAAACAGG
This 429-nucleotide ribosomal RNA is filed under the name Pseudomonadota bacterium. Its description in RNAcentral is "Proteobacteria bacterium partial 16S ribosomal RNA". It matches the Rfam family "Bacterial small subunit ribosomal RNA", at positions 355 to 776 of the family's 1533-position model. Lineage: Bacteria; Pseudomonadati; Pseudomonadota. The record is from RNAcentral.